This is an RNA transcript of Lycium barbarum (goji berry), 3914 nucleotides long. RefSeq lists it as uncharacterized. Lineage: Eukaryota; Viridiplantae; Streptophyta; Magnoliopsida; Solanales; Solanaceae. The transcript has 6 exons. The record is from RefSeq and is a predicted model, not a curated record.
CCCCCACCCCCACCCCCCUCUCGUCACCGCUUCCUCUCUUCCUCUCUCUCCGAUUGCCGGCGUUUCCAGCCUUCUUCCGCCGUCGCCGGCCACUUUCCAACAGCCUUCUCCCAUCGUCACAUUUGAGGUACUACACCUGAUGGCUGCAAAUUAGCAUUGGUAGAUUUAGUAGAAUAAUGUGAGAACUUAGCUUGUUUGGAUAGUGUCGUAUUACUCUAUCGAACAGUUAAGAUGGAAUCUCGUAGUUGGAUGUAUACAAGAACAAAUGACGGUAGAGGGGGGAUGAGGCAAGAAUUUAUGAACGGUGUCGUUGCUUUUGUUUAAUAUGCAAUGACACUUGAACCUUUUAUAAUAGAAGGCUUGGUUAGGUGUCCUUGUGAGAAAUGUGCAUGUAGGAAUUAUGAGACACCAGAGAUUGUUAGGCUUCAUCUUUAUACCCACGGCUUUCAAUUAAAUUAUACAGUGUGGACUAGUCAUGGAGAAACAGAUACUGGUUUGGGAGAAUUUCAAAACUUUGUUGUUGGUGAAAGCAGUAGGUUGGUGGAACCUGAUGUCCAAAAUUAUAGAAUGUACGACUUGAUUCAGGAUGCUUAUGGGAUGCAUUCCAAUUUUGAAUCCGGUAACCAUGUUGAAGAAGAUCCUAAUGAGGAAGCUAGUCGUUUUUUUGAACAGUUGAAAGAUGCUAGUCGACCUUUGUGUGACGGGAGUCCCCACUCUCAAUUGUCUAUUGCUGUUAGAUUAAUAAGUAUCAAAGCAGAUUGGAAUGUUCCUCAAGGGGCAAUAGAUGUUGUGAUUAGCCUUAUACGUGAAUUAGUUGACCCGAAUCUAGAGAUACCUGUUAACUACUACAAGGCAAAGAGAUUGGUGUCAAAGUUAGGACUCUCGUCCUACAGAAUUGAUUGUUGUGAAAAUGGAUGCAUGUUAUACUAUAAGGAUGACGUAGGUUUAGAAUCUUGUAAGUUUUGUGGUAGAGCUCGUUUUAAGCGGGCUCGUAGCGGGAAGAGAGUUGCUUUUAAGGCGAUGCAUUACUUACCUUUUAUACCAAGGUUAAAGAGGUUGUAUGCAUCAAAUAGCUUUGCUCCUCAUAUGAGAUGGCAUAGUGAGAAUAGAAGGCCGUCUGGUGUUAUGUGUCAACCAUCAGAUGGAGAGGCUUGGAAGCAUUUUGAUAGAACAUAUCCAGAUGAACCACGAAACAUCAGGUUAGGUUUAUGUUCAGAUGGAUUCACUCCACAUUCUGCUUCUGCUGCUCCCUAUUCUUGCUGGCCUGUUUUCUUAACACCGUAUAAUCUUCCACCCGAGUUGUGUAUGACUAGUCCAUAUAUAUUCCUUAAUUUCAUCAUUCCUAGCCCGCGUAAUCCAAAUUUUUUGAUUGAUGUAUACUUGCAACCUUUGAUUGAUGAGUUGAAAUUGUUGUGGGUUGAAGGGGUUGACACGUUUGAUGUAUCGCGUAGGCAGAACUUUAAUUUGCGGGCCACCUUAAUGUGGACGAUUAAUGACUUUCUUGCGUACGGAAUGUUGUCUGGGUGGAUGACAACUGGAAAGUUAGCUUGUCCUUGCUGCAUAAUAUGACCAUAAAAAUUCAUAGUUUGAUUGCCACCGUCAAUUCUUGCCAAUGGAUCAUGAGUUUCGAAGUAUGAAAAAUGCAUUCAGGAAGAACACAAUUGAACGAAACUGUCCACCUUCAAGACUGUCGGGAGAGGAUAUUUGGGAGAGGGUUCAAAACUUUCCGGAGGUUACUGAAGGAGCACCGUACAAGUUCGAUGGGUAUGGGUCAACACAUAACUGGACUAAGCAAAGCAUAUUCUGGGAGUUACCAUAUUGGAAGGAUAAUCUUCUCCGACAUAAUCUUGAUGUCAAGCAUAUUGAAAAAAAUUACUUUGAUAACUUGUUCAACACAGUAAUGGAUGUUAAGGGCAAGACAAAAGACAAUCCAAAGGCUAGAAUGGACGUACAGUAGUAAGCGAAAAAAGUUAUGGUUACAGGACAAACAGAACAGAGUCUUCAAGCCUAAGGCUGGUUAUUCAUUCACAAUGGAGCAAAAGCGAAAGAUUUGUCAGUGGGUCCAGAACUUGAAGAUGCCUGAUAGGUAUGCAUCAAAUUUGGGAAAACGUGUCGAUAUUGAGCAAGGAAAGUUACAUGGGAUAAAAAGUCAUGAUAGUCACGUUUUCAUGGAAACUUUACUCCCCAUUGCAUUUAGUGGCUUGCCUACCCGAAUCUGGAAACCUAUGACAGAAAUUAGUUUGUUCUUCAAAGACUUGUGUUCUAGCACGUUGAGGGCAGACAACCUGGAACGGAUGCAUAAGAAUAUUCCUGUAAUCACAAAUAAUUUAGAGAAGAUUCUACCAAAGGGGUUCUUUGAUGUGAUGGAACAUCUUCCAAUUCACCUUGCAGAGGAAGCUAGACUCGGAGGCCCAAUUCAAUGUCGGUGGAUGUAUCCUUUUGAGAGGACUAUUAGCAAGCCUAAGCGGGGUAUCAUGCAGAGACAUAGAGUGGAGGGCUCAAUUUGCGAAGCAUAUCUUGCUAAGGAAAUAUCUCAUUUCUGUUCUUACUACUUUGGAGAUGAUGUUCCAUGCUUGCGAAACAGGCCCAAUCGGCACUACGACGGAGGUGUUAAUGAUGCUUUCGCGAAGCCGAUAUCUAUCUUCAAUCGACCGGGUACGGGAUCAAAAAAACGUAAAAAAAGAGAAUUGAAUGAUUUGGAGUUUAAGUCUGCGUUGACACAUGUCUUGCUGAAUUGCCCGGAAGUUCAAUCAUAUUAUGAUUACUUUGUGUAGAUUAACGACGAGUCUCAAGUGCACGAACAAUUUGCAACAUGGUUUAAAGAUUACGUGGGCAGCUGCAAAAGUAGCGGAAUGUUGCCAAUUUUUCUACAGAAAACUAACCUCAUGAGGUCGGUUAUUUUAAUUUCAUUUUCCAGAUUUUAAUGAACCGACCUCAUGUGGUCGGUUGUGUUCAUAUCAUUUUGCACAUUUUAAAGAAACCGACCACAUGAGGUCGGUUGUUUUCAUAUCAAUAUACAGAUUUUAAGGAACCCGACUACAUGAGGUCGGUUCAUGAUUGUAAUUAUUUAUAAAUUUAUAGUUAGCGACCUCAUGUGGUCGGUAACAGAAAAAUAAAUAAAUAAAUAAUUUUUUAAAUAUUUCCGACCACAUGAGGUCGGUAACUUGAAAAAGUAAACAAAAACAAAUAUAAUUUAUAAACCCCAUGUGGUCGUUAAUGCUUUUACUGAAAAAGAAAUAAUUUAAUAUACCGACCACAUGAGGUCGGUAUGUUAAUUUUCUUUUUUUUUUUUGGACGAAUCAUGUACCGACCACGUGUGGUCGCUUUUUUCCGACCUCAUGAGGUCGCUAAUUAUUUGCAACCUGUCCAUAUCAGGGCUACUUUUGAGGUCGGUUUUGAGGUCGCAUUUUUUCAGAAAUCGACCUCGUGAGGUCGGAAAUAUCAAUUAUUUUUUGUCGGUUUUGAGCAGUUUUUUAGUAGUGCACUAUGCCAAACAAAGAAUGUUUUAUACCUAAUAGUACCGAAUACAAAUAAAAAAUAAAAUAGUUUCAAGUAAAAUAAUGAAAACGAAAUUGCAACUUUAUAUUUCAAAAGGAAAAAAUGAAAAAGGUUAUAGGCAAAAAACAUAAUAUGAGGGAGAAAAAAAAAACUAAAUUAAAGAUUCUUGUAGAUGAAUGAAAAAACCUUUAGGGUCGAAAGCAUAACAUUAAAGUUUGUCGAUUAGUAUUGACAAAUUGUUAGUUUUUGUUCUGUUUUUUUUGGGAUUUGUUGUUUUCUAAUAAAAAGUUCAAACACAAUAUUUGGAUCAGUGUAAUAACAUUAUUUUGUCAUUUAAAUAAAUGUCCCAUCUAUUUUGACGUUCAUUGCUAUUGUAAUUUUUUUUUUCUUUUUGUAUUGAAUUUAUAAAAUAGUCA